Molecule: small nuclear RNA, 106 nt
Organism: Ochotona princeps (American pika)
Lineage: Eukaryota; Metazoa; Chordata; Mammalia; Lagomorpha; Ochotonidae
Source: Ensembl
UUGCUUGUUUCCACAGUACAUAUGCUAAAAUUGGAGUGAUACAGGGAAGAUUAGCAUGGCCCUGCACAAGGAUGACACGCAAAUUCAUGAAGCAUUCUAUUAAAAA